AAAAAAAACACAUAUAGGCGUAAUCUUGUAAGAAAGUUCCUCCAUCAAAAGAUUCCUUUUUGACUCUGGAAAGAACAUUCUUGAAAAAAGUACAAUAACAAAAAUACCGACAUCCGAGGAAAAUUAAAUUUGGAAUGUCUUUUAUCAAAUGUCAAAAUAUAAAGCUCAAACACAUCAAACGAAUGAUUAACAUCAAUACAC
Molecule: long non-coding RNA, 201 nt
Filed under: Mytilus galloprovincialis (Mediterranean mussel)
Lineage: Eukaryota; Metazoa; Mollusca; Bivalvia; Mytilida; Mytilidae
Source: RNAcentral